GCCUGGGUGGCUCAGUCGGUUGAGCGUCCGGUUUCAGCUCGGGUCAUGAUCACACAGUUCGUGGGUUCGAGCCCCGCAUCUGGCU
This is a transfer RNA of Felis catus (domestic cat), 85 nucleotides long. It matches the Rfam family "tRNA". From Rfam's summary of the family: Transfer RNA (tRNA) molecules are approximately 80 nucleotides in length. Their secondary structure includes four short double-helical elements and three loops (D, anti-codon, and T loops). Further hydrogen bonds mediate the characteristic L-shaped molecular structure. tRNAs have two regions of fundamental functional importance: the anti-codon, which is responsible for specific mRNA codon recognition, and the 3' end, to which the tRNAs corresponding amino acid is attached (by aminoacyl-tRNA synthetases). tRNAs cope with the degeneracy of the genetic code in two manners: having more than one tRNA (with a specific anti-codon) for a particular amino acid; and 'wobble' base-pairing, i.e. permitting non-standard base-pairing at the 3rd anti-codon position. Lineage: Eukaryota; Metazoa; Chordata; Mammalia; Carnivora; Felidae. The record is from Rfam.